RNAcentral lists this ribosomal RNA (253 nucleotides) under uncultured bacterium. RNAcentral describes it as "partial 16S ribosomal RNA". It matches the Rfam family "Bacterial small subunit ribosomal RNA", at positions 524 to 776 of the family's 1533-position model. The record is from RNAcentral.
UACAGAGGGUGCGAGCGUUAAUCGGAAUUACUGGGCGUAAAGGGCGCGUAGGCGGUCCUAUAAGUUAGAUGUGAAAUCCCCGGGCUUAACCUGGGAACUGCAUCUAAGACUGUAGGACUGGAGUACGGUAGAGGGCAGUGGAAUUUCCGGUGUAGCGGUGAAAUGCGUAGAUAUCGGAAGGAACACCAGUGGCGAAGGCGACUGCCUGGACUGAUACUGACGCUGAGGCGCGAGAGCGUGGGGAGCAAACAGG